AUUGAACGCUGGCGGCAGGCCUAACACAUGCAAGUCGAACGAGUGGCGGACGGGUGAGUAAUGUCUGGGAAACUGCCUGAUGGAGGGGGAUAACUACUGGAAACGGUAGCUAAUACCGCAUACCAUCAGAUGUGCCCAGAUGGGAUUAGCUUGUUGGUGGGGUAACGGCUCACCAGGGCGACGAUCCCUAGCUGGUCUGAGAGGAUGACCAGCCACACGUGAACGGAGACACGGUCCAGACUCCUACGGGAGGCAGCAGUGGGGAAUAUUGGGCAAUGGGCGAAAGCCUGAUGCAGCCAGGCCGCGGGUGUGAAGAAGGCCUUCGGGUUGUAAAGUACUUUCAGCGGGGAGGCGUUACCUGCAGAAGAAGCACCGGCUAACUCCGUGCCAGCCGCCGCGGUAAUUC
This 406-nucleotide ribosomal RNA is filed under the name uncultured bacterium. RNAcentral describes it as "partial 16S ribosomal RNA". It matches the Rfam family "Bacterial small subunit ribosomal RNA", at positions 30 to 526 of the family's 1533-position model. The record is from RNAcentral.